RNAcentral lists this long non-coding RNA (70 nucleotides) under Monodelphis domestica (gray short-tailed opossum). RNAcentral describes it as "lncRNA (ENSMODG00000035665.2)". Lineage: Eukaryota; Metazoa; Chordata; Mammalia; Didelphimorphia; Didelphidae. The record is from RNAcentral.
GACUCGGCGGAGAAAAGGACGCUGACUUGGUGAUCAGAAGCAAUCAUUUAAUAAAUGUCUCAGAAAGAAC